AGAAAUUAAAGAAAUACAUUUUUCCAUCUUCUUCCUUCCUCACACCUGAACUCAGAAACCCUAAUUCUUCAGCCAAUUCCAAAAUUAGUCAUUCUUAUGUUGUUAAGAUCAAAUAAAGGUCAUGAGUUUAAUUAGCAAGUUGCUAAUUUAACCAACGCGAAGCAAAGACGAUGAGCUUCAUAUUCAUCAUCUUUUCUGAAGCUCCAUACUUGAAUCUCUUCUCCACUUUCGAAUCCCCUUUUUUCAACCAUCAAAUUCCAUUUUGUCAUCAAACAGUAAACUUCUCCACUUCCAAUUUUCCACUUCUUCAAACAAAGCAUUCUUUCUUCAAGAACAUCGUCCAAUAUCAUUACGUUUAUCCCCUUCUUGUUCUUAUUUUCUUGUUCGCUCAGUAACUCACUCUCUUCCUCUGUUGCAAAAUCGAACGACAGUUGUUUUUUGUUCAUCGACAGACGGCCAUGGUUUUUGUUUAAAUCGGUAUCAGAACAGAGUUUGCCAGUUGUAUUAGAAUAGACGCAGCCUCCGCCAUAGACAAGGGGAGUUCGGUUUCAGUAAUGGAUUGCUGUUUCUUGCCGGCGCCGGAGGAAGAUCCACGUCUUUUCCGAGCUAGGGUUGACGUGGUUGGAUGGCCUUGGCCAUGCCAUAGGCGGCCGCUGAUGCAAUGGCUCCGAUGAGGGCGGUUUGCACGGCGCUGGUGAAGGGUUUGUUGCCGGUGAAGUAACCCUUGGCAUAGCCAAAAACUAAGAGUGCUACCAAAGUUAAGGCAACAGAUGCAAGAACAGCCUCUGAGGCUUUGGGGAAAAACAUGUACGGAAUUAAGGGUACUAACCCUCCCAAUAUGUAGGAGAUGGCAAUGGUUAGGGCACUUUGUAUGGCUCUUUUUGGCUCUGGCUUUUCCAAUCCUAGCUCAAACCUAUAAUAAUAAAAAUAAAUUUGACCCA
Cucumis melo (muskmelon) is the source of this 941-nucleotide long non-coding RNA. RefSeq lists it as uncharacterized. The record is from RefSeq and is a predicted model, not a curated record. NCBI's taxonomy places the organism in Eukaryota, Viridiplantae, Streptophyta, Magnoliopsida, Cucurbitales, Cucurbitaceae. The transcript has 3 exons.